This 450-nucleotide ribosomal RNA is filed under the name uncultured bacterium. Its description in RNAcentral is "bacterial SSU rRNA". It matches the Rfam family "Bacterial small subunit ribosomal RNA", at positions 29 to 524 of the family's 1533-position model. The record is from RNAcentral.
AACGAACGCUGGCGGCAUGCCUAACACAUGCAAGUCGAACGAAGUCUUUGGACUUAGUGGCGCACGGGUGCGUAACGCGUGGGAAUCUGCCCUUGGGUGCGGAAUAACUUCUCGAAAGGGAUGCUAAUACCGCAUAAUGUCGUAAGACCAAAGAUUUAUCGCCCAAGGAUGAGCCCGCGUAAGAUUAGCUAGUUGGUGGGGUAAAAGCCUACCAAGGCGACGAUCUUUAGCUGGUCUGAGAGGAUGAUCAGCCACACUGGGACUGAGACACGGCCCAGACUCCUACGGGAGGCAGCAGUGGGGAAUAUUGGACAAUGGGCGAAAGCCUGAUCCAGCAAUGCCGCGUGAGUGAUGAAGGCCCUAGGGUUGUAAAGCUCUUUUACCAGGGAUGAUAAUGACAGUACCUGGAGAAUAAGCUCCGGCUAACUCCGUGCCAGCAGCCGCGGUAAU